GUCCGCUGUGGCUUGGCAGGCUGAAGAACUGGUGGUGGGGGACGAGCUGGUGGCUGUGACUUGGGAUCCCACUGGGCAGCACCAACUGAACAACCCCCAGCCCUAGCCCCGCCCCUUGGGCGGAGGGAGGUGAGGAAGAAGGCAGAAUCCUCCCCUUUAAAUUGUCCAAAUUGUCUUUUUUCUUUGGUCUUAGUCUGCGUGGGUGAAGAAAAAAAAAAAGUUUGUGACUUGCGCGGGGCUUGAGUCCUGGGGGGCGUGGCAUGAAAAUUGGGUGGCUGUGACUGAUGUGAUCUAAUGUUCAAAAUCACUUUUUGGUAAUAAUUUAUCAUUGUCAUUUGGCUUGAGUCUUCUGGUGGAGGUGGGUGAUGAAAUGUAAAAGUCUUGAAAAAAAAUUCUUCCUGAGCUAUGAUGUUGUUUGUUGGUGGUGGUGUGACCGUGUCCUGGCGAAUCCGAACAGCAUGCGGUCCACUUUAGCCCGGAGUAAGAGGAGUUUGCGGGCGAGACGCUUCCUGUCCGCACGUGGAAGCCUUCCCCGACGUCCUUAGUCGAGAGCGACUCUUCCGGGAAGACGGCAACAUGGCGUCGUCAACGGGCCAAAUGAAAUCUUUUGGCACCACUUGACCAUGUGGCCCCAGCGUCAGUCCUCUUUGCGCCAGGGAGGAAUAGCGCAGCGUUUCUUCCGCCAUCGCUCGCAGUACUGCCAAAAACGUCUCGUUCAAAUCUCCUGCGAAGAGGCUAUUCUGCUGGGAACUUUUGUCAGGACUUUGACUUGGAUUAGUAUUGCUUCUUCGAGGCAGAAGGAAUUUGGAACGAGCCUGACGUGAAUCAUCAUCUAUUGCUUGGAUUUUUGCCAACAAUUGCUCCUGCUGUGUUCGCUUAAUCAACCAUCGUCUGGGGGACUCUGAUGAUAGCGAAGAAGACCCGGGAAAUGGUGAUCUCAAAUCUCUGGGGUUGGCAAGCUAAUUGCACAGGCAGAUUCCACCGUCUCGCCGAGUGCCAGCAAGAGUCAUUAGUACCGCUACUCGUCAACUCAACCCCUCAACUGGAGAUAACUUUCUAGCAACUCAUCAUGGGGAAGGACAUAUUCAUAUGCCUUCACCAGCACCUGCAUUAAACAUGCAGAGAGUAACACAAGGAACGGCAGUCCCUCUUUGACUCCCUCAACAUGUGGCAGACAGAGGAGCCUGGAUCCCGCCUGGCCUACAGGCCAACAUGUUGUGGGGGAAGAAUGGCCGACAACAUUUCCUGCUCUG
Nerophis ophidion (straightnose pipefish) is the source of this 1253-nucleotide long non-coding RNA. RefSeq lists it as uncharacterized. The record is from RefSeq and is a predicted model, not a curated record. NCBI's taxonomy places the organism in Eukaryota, Metazoa, Chordata, Actinopteri, Syngnathiformes, Syngnathidae. The transcript has 6 exons.